Long non-coding RNA from Malaya genurostris, 371 nucleotides. RefSeq lists it as uncharacterized. The transcript has 2 exons. Lineage: Eukaryota; Metazoa; Arthropoda; Insecta; Diptera; Culicidae. The record is from RefSeq and is a predicted model, not a curated record.
CGUCAUCAAACUCAGUUGUGAAUCACAACUUGUGGUAACGAAGAAUUGUUUUGAUAUUUAUGAAGGUAUGUCAGAAGUACAGUUAAAAAUUACCAAAAAUGGUACCACGACGGAGCUUCACGAAACCAUUAAAGAGAACAACAUUGGUGAGCUGAUAGUUUCUCUCCAGGAGCUAAAGAAAUCAUCGAAUGAAGCUAUAACCAAACUGCUGCCGGAAGCUGAGAAUAGAAAUGCACCCAAGAAGUCAGGUGAUGCCCAUCAAUAAAACGCAGAAAAAAAUGAUUGGAAUGAAUGGAAUUCGUGCAUUUUUAUCCAAUCACCCUACAUUGUUGAGAAUGUGAAUAUGUAAAUAAAAUAUUUGAAUACAGUUA